AGUGAACGCUGGCGGUAGGCCUAACACAUGCAAGUCGAACGGCAGCACAGUAAGAGCUUGCUCUUACGGGUGGCGAGUGGCGGACGGGUGAGGAAUACAUCGGAAUCUACUUUUUCGUGGGGGAUAACGUAGGGAAACUUACGCUAAUACCGCAUACGACCUACGGGUGAAAGCAGGGGAUCUUCGGACCUUGCGCGAUUGAAUGAGCCGAUGUCGGAUUAGCUAGUUGGCGGGGUAAAGGCCCACCAAGGCGACGAUCCGUAGCUGGUCUGAGAGGAUGGGGGACAGAGAGAGAAGUGGAACAAGGAAAAGAGUCCGAAGGGAGGCAGCAGUCGGGAGUAGUGGGGAAGGGGGGCAUGAGUGAUGUAAACACGUGGUGUGAGUGAAGAAGGUCUACGGAUCGAAAAACGCUGGUUUUGGGGAAAAACAUAUGAGUACGAAAGUGUGAAUGUAUUGAAGGGACCGAGUUAGAAAGGGACGGCUAACUACGUG
Molecule: ribosomal RNA, 492 nt
Filed under: uncultured bacterium
Lineage: Bacteria
Description: partial 16S ribosomal RNA
Rfam family: Bacterial small subunit ribosomal RNA
Source: RNAcentral